Molecule: long non-coding RNA, 559 nt
Organism: Oryzias melastigma (Indian medaka)
Lineage: Eukaryota; Metazoa; Chordata; Actinopteri; Beloniformes; Adrianichthyidae
Exons: 3
Source: RefSeq, a predicted model, not a curated record
UUUUUAUGUUUUUAACCUGAAAUCCUUCAAAUCCUUUGAUUUCCUCAGAAAUCAUCAGAACUUCUUCUGGAUGAGUUUGGUUCUGUUUUCUGUGGACCGUAGCUACUCUGGUAAACUAUGAAGCUGCACAGCUCAGAGGACUGUUGGAGGAUUGUGGGUAAUGUAGUCAGGAGUCUGGAAGAGUGAAACAAACUACAAGAUAAUGAAGUAAAUUGGAGAAGCUGGAGGGGAGGAGUUCAGAUCCGGUCUAACGUCAGGUUCUUCAGACUGGAUGUGAUCCGAAGACUCCUCUGGUUCUGGUUCAGAUCCUGAGUCUUCACUGACGGACGGUUAUGAGACAGUACCAGCACCCUCUUAAACACCACCAGAAGCUGCAGCGCAUCAGUGCAGGCGUCUUAAGAAGAGUUUGAAGACAGAAAGAACGUCUGGAGGAAACCAGGAAAACAACCAGGAUCCACGCGGAACGUUUUCCUCAUUUGUCUGUUCUGUCGUCUUCAACACAGAACGUUGGGAACUGCUACGGCCGACUUAUGUUCUGCAGCCGACAGCCCCCCAGGGG